Molecule: ribosomal RNA, 500 nt
Filed under: uncultured bacterium
Lineage: Bacteria
Description: partial 16S ribosomal RNA
Rfam family: Bacterial small subunit ribosomal RNA
Source: RNAcentral
AUUGAACGCUGGCGGAAUGCUUUACACAUGCAAGUCGAACGGCAGCACGGACUUCGGUCUGGUGGCGAGUGGCGAACGGGUGAGCAAUGUAUCGGAACGUGCCCAGUCGUGGGGGAUAACGUAGUGAAAAUUACGCUAAUACCGCAUACGAUCUAGGGAUGAAAGCGGGGGAGCGCAAGACCGCGCGCGUCUGGAGCGGCGGAGAUCGGAUUAGGUAGUUGGUGGGGUAAAGGCCCACCAAGCCUACGAUCUGUAGCUGGUCUGAGAGGACGACCAGCCAAACUGGAACGGAGACACGGUCCAGACUCCUACGGGAGGCAGCAGUGGGGAAUUUUGGACAAUGGGCGAACGCCUGAUCCAGCCAUUCCGCGUGCAGGAUGAAGGCCCUCGGGUUGUAAACGGCUUUUGUACAGAACGAAAAGGUUUCUACUAAUACUAGGAGCUCAUGACGGUACUGUAAGAAUAAGCCCCGGCUAACUACGUGCCAGCCGCCGCCGUAA